UACACUCCACGUUCAGAUUCAGAUUCAUUCUGUAAGCGCGAUUCCUCGAGGACGUAACGUGAAACGUCGGCCGAUCAGCCCGGUUUUUGAGCAGCUAUUCAACGGUUACGCGCCCACCACCCACUCACCACUAACACCGAAGAAUCAGCAACGCCCCCCACUUCACCCGCGCUUGUGCAUCUCAAAGAUACAAAAGUAAUUCAAAGAUAAAUAAGCGGGGAAUUAUCCGAAAAAUUAAAAGUAAAUUCCACAAAUACGUAUAGUGUGUGCGAGUGGCAAGCUGAUUGGAUUUACUGGUGUGCCUGCGUAAAUUCUUUAACUAAAAUUGAUUGUUUAUUUCCGCUGCAGCAGCAGCAGCAGCAGUAGCAGCAGCACGAGCAAAAAGAUAACAAACACAAGCAACUAAUGAAAUUUGGGCCAGUUGCCAAUUGAAAAUGUGAUUUCCUUAUCAACAACGGAGCACACAAACGAAAGAAUACGUAUAUUAAGCCAGCGAGUAAAUAAAAUUAAUUUACGCGCGCUUCGAAAUCAAAUUCAAAAUGUCAUUCCAAGUGCACAGCGAAAAAAAAACAUCAACAGCGAAAGCGUCAUUAAGUAAAUAAAUAAAAACAACAAAGCCCAGCAAAUAUUGUUCAACAACUAACCAGUAAUUGUGUAAAUAGUAUCCAGCAUAAACAAUUUAAUUGUUUAAUUGUGUUGUGCAGCAAAAUAAAUUUAAUUAUAUGUAAUAAAUAUUCAAUGAAUACGUAGUAGGAUAAUAAUAAAGUAAAGAAGUAUAAUCUGAUAAUUCCGUGCAAUCUAUUUCUAAAAUAACAACACAUCAACAACCAUCACAGCCAUAAAGUAUAUUAAUAACUCAAGAACCAAACCCGAUAAGAGCCAGAAUCAAAUUGAAUAAUAAGCAGCGUUAAAACGCAAAACUCAUAAGGUGCAUCCAACUUCAAUAUUCGAAAUCGCGAAAUCCGACCUAGACUUGCCAUAUUGCGACUGAAACCUAUACCCCCAGCAGCUUUAAAUCGUGAUAAAAAGUAAGUUCUGGACAUUUGCGUUGUGCUUAACCCAAAUCGACGGUUGGUAAGGAGCGGGAAUCCAAAUACGAAUCCGAAUCGGAAUCGGAAUUGGAAUUGGGAUCGGAAUCGGGCUAACAAGACAAGUCACUUAAUGUCUGUCGCCAAUUUAUUCGCAUUUUUUUGCGCCGCUCUUUGUUUUUGGGGCCAAUUAGCGAAACGAGUUUCUGGUGUAAACGUUGAGGAAAGGAAAACAUUUCCGCAAAAUAAAUAAAGUAAAGUAAAGUGUGGAACAGAGAAGAGAAAUGUGAUAAGGCGAGGUGAGGUGAGGUGGAGCAUGAGAGAAAAGGCCAAAACCAGCUGGCCGAAUCGGCGGUAUGAGUGAUUCAUGCGAGUGCGAGUAUCUCUUAGUACGCUCCAACUCACAUCGGGUUCCCCAUUCCGCAUUUCCCAUUCCCCAUUCCCCAACCUCCAAUCUCCAGAUCCACUUUACUCUGCAGUAAUACGACGAGAUAAUGAGCGGGGCCGUAAGGAAAUUAAAUACAGUGAUUAAGUAACUUAAUGACGUGGGAUAAGCCACGAAAUGUGCAGGCUUAGGGGAUGGAUGGCCAGAACCGGCCCAUUCCGAUUCCGAUUCCGGGUGUAAUCCCAAAAAGUUACUACAUAAGUCUAGGAUUUGGACCCCUACUUCAAUCGCUUGGAUCUGAAGUUGAUCCGGCGCUUGGCUUCAAACUCAAGAGUCUGGUAGCUCUUGGGCAAAAGUUCACUUAUUCGGCGGUCAGUGAACCGCCUUCUUCUACGACUUCUUCCUCAUUUGCAUUUUGUGGCAGCGAAGAACCAUUUUAAUUGUGUUUAAUUAGACUCUCGGCUAACCGAAAUAAUUAUGCAUAAUUAAAAGCCAUUUUGCAUUUUUAACGCGAAUUUAAGGCAUUAACCUCGGCAAAUAAAUUAUGCAUGUCACGUGGCAUUUAAUUUUGAAAAAUAUCAUUUAGAAUUAUUAUAACUCCUCAUCUCGUUUGUCUUAUAAAGCAAAACUUAAUUGAAUCGAAUCGAAUUGAGUUGAAAUGAAUCAAAGAGUUGAUAUCACCGCGUAUUCCCCGUAAAAUAUGCCCCACAGUAUUGGGACAUAAAUUUCAAUUAUAAAUUAUUCAUCACUAUUUAGGGAAAGUUGCUAAUUUAGCGACAGUUCAAUGAACCAAAAGUAGGCAACAGUUUUAUUUUGGCCAAAAACAAACAAAUAAAUAAUCCAGCAAAUAUUGCUGAGCAAUUUGGCCUUUUCUCAAUUCUUUUGAUUUUUUUUAGAAUAAAUUGUUUAAUUAUUUUGGGUGUGGCAAGUGGAUAUCGCAUGGAUAUUAUUGGUUUCUGCUGUCAUUUGCAUAGACUUGAAGUUAAUGAAAUUUUUCAAAUAUUCAUUCAGCUUAUUUGUACGUGGGUGGCAGUGUGAUAUGCAUAUCAAAUAGUCUCUAGAGUAGGAAUUAUUAUAUCUGUGUGAGUCCAAUUGAAAUGGAGAAUGAAGUUUGGCUCACAGCUUUUACAUGCUAAUACUCUUGAUUACUCUUGAUUAUUAUAUAUAUUCAUGUAUGUACUUUUAAAUGAUGAAUAGAGACACGUUUACAUGGUUUAAGCUGACCAACUGCCCCAUUAACCCUCCGAAUACCCCUUGUUCCUGGGCUUACCUGGCACAAAACACCGCUCACAUACUGGCCGCAUAUCAGUUUGUAUGUUAAACACUUUAAACGUGUUUUCAUUUUGACUUGUUUGCUUUGCUCUUUACCUUCUUUUCAAACUUCUUACUACACAAACUACACACAAACGGCAACUGCGACCCUUUUUCAUUUGACUUCGCCUCGUUGUUGUUGCCGCACAAAAUUAUAUUUAUUUUUGCAUUAAGCACGAGGUCAAUUAACCUCAUGCCGCGUCGCGAGUUCAAUAAACGCAAAGCACACACAGCGCGCCAAACACAAGCAAAACUUUAAACUACACACUCGCGUACAGCAGAAUUUAACAUUCACAUAAAAAGCGCAAAAAAAAAUACGCAAAAAUACAACAAAAUGGCAAAAAAGAAUGCAAAAAAAACUGUGUUGUGACGUCGUUGUUGUCGUUGACAUUUUGCGCAUUUUACAACAGCAACAGCAGCAACAAGAACAACAACGGGACAACGCGGAUUUUUUACAACUUUUUUGCCAUUUUUUUACAAUUGUAAAUUGAGUCAUUUGGUUGUAGUUGCCAGUUGUCGUUGUUUUUCACCCCUUUUUUAUUAUUCUCAUGUUUGUUAUGCACUUGACAACGACAACAUAUGAACGGCAGCAGCAGCAGCAACAACUGCAGCAACAACAACUGCGGCAGCAGCAGCAACAACUGCAGCAACAGCAGCAGCAACAACCGCAGCAGCAGCAACAUCAGCCAAAAACUCAUUCAUCAACACUUUCAAAGCGCUUUUGCACCCAUUUGAGAUUUUGUUGUGUUUUUUAGCCUAAGGCCACUGCUUUUUGAGGGGGGUUUGGGGGGCUCGGAAGCCCCCUGGUCAUUGAUACGCCGGCUCGCGUGCCGUUCUUGCUCUUUUUUCAAAGCUUGCUUCCCCCCCUUUUUUUUUGUUAUAUAUUUUCAUAUUUAUUUGCUUGGCUUUUUUUGGGGCUCUGUCAUUCUUUUGCCCAUACAAAUUAAUUGUAGUCGUUUUUUGUGGGUUUUUGCUUAGGGUGCCGCGUGUUGCCACGCAAAAUGAAAAAAUGAAAAAGCGAGGGAAAAAGGUAUUUUUGAUUUGGUUGUUUAUUUUGCCAGCCAGCUUGGUAACCGAUGACGUUGAAAAUCGAGGGCGGUGUGCACAGGUGUGCAAAAUGAAUGUUGAGUGGGGCAAAAGCGAAUGUAAAUCAAUAAUCGAGACGGGGGAAGUGCAAAAAUGCUAAAUAAAUGAAGACAAAUUGGGUAAAAUUUGUUUGAACAGUUUAUUACGGGCGAAUUUGUUCGCUGAGUGCUAUAAAAAACGAAUGAGGAAAUGCUGGGAAAGUAUAAAUAAAACUGGCAUAAGUUUGUCAAUGCAGCGCAAUACAUAUUCAACAGGAUUGGCGAGUUCUCACACUCACGAUAAACUCGGAAAUAACGUGUUAACUAAGCCAUUAAAAUUAAAAAUACUUUUUACUAUUCUUUUUGGCUAAAACUUUGCAGGCCGUAUAAACAUUUUUUACGAUGGCAUUUACAAUCAUGGGAACAUGUGUAUAGAGCACAACUUUAUGACUUCUACGCAAUUAUAUGGCAUAAAUGAAAUAAAUUAUGUUGUUGCCCCGCCAGCUUAAAUGUUGCAAACACAGCCAACUAAUUGACUAAACUAUGCAAAUUACUCGAUUCAUUAGAAAAGCACUCAAUUUGACUUUCAAUCGAUGUGCAAAAACAAUUAACUCAUUAAAUGACUAAACGCUCGCAGCUCAUCAAAAUAUCGAAAUAGAAGCCAAGUUCGCCGAAGGCAGUAAAAAAUAGAUAUACGCAAAAUACCCAAGCAAAUCAGAUAAAAGUGAUUCAUGGUGUCAAGUUGCUCAGCAGUCGAGGUGUAAAAUAUAUAUGUACAUUUUAGCUGCCUCUUAAAAGCGUCCAGUUUGGCAUUUCCGUUGGCAGAAAAGAAACGCAUAAGCUAAAAGCUUCCCAACUCAUGACUCACAAAUAGCUGUGUACACAGAUAGAUUUAUAUGCCGGCAAUUAGCCAAGUUGAUCUAAUAACCCGAGUGGCAAAUCGGCGGGGAAAACUGUUGCAAAUACUUACAUUUCCACUUGGCCAAAUCGCGGCCAAGCCACAAAACUAGUUUACGUUAAAAAAAACACACACACAGAAAAACUAACACAAACUAGUAUUAUAAUAAUGACUUCAAUUUUCAGGCCGGCCAGGCAAAGAGAUUGUUGUAAAAAAAAAUAAUAAUAAUAACGAAAGCAGAGUAGAGCAGCGCACAAAAAAAUGUAUUUGGCAACUUUAGCAACAAGAUUCUUUGACGUGAAUUUAUGGCAAUUGAAGACAAGUUUUUAAUUAUGUUGCUGCCGUCGUUAUUGCUGUCGUUGUUGUUGUUAUUGUUGUUGUUGUUUUUGUGUCUGUUAUGGCCGGGCAUAAUAAUAAUUUAAAUAUGGCCAGGACAGCCUGAAAAUGAAGUGGCACACGGCAUUAAAUCAUCGCGUGCAGCUAAAAAGGAUAAAUAAGCGAGGAGGAAACACAGCAACUGCUGCCUUCAAUUUACUUUUUCCAAUCAUAGCAAUUGAAUCAAUUUCUGUUGGGUUACUUAUCGCACACAAUAGCCGAUUAAAAUGUUUAACUGGAAAUGUAGGGAAAUACACUCAAAGAAACAAAUAAACUCUCUUUCCCCAACUAUUUUUCUUAGCCAUAAUUUAGUAUUAUAGCCUACAUUAUCAAUAUGGAACAAACAGUUAUUAUAUGUUUUAUACACACUUCGAGAGCAUAACGAUGGCUUUGCAGUGGCCAAUUAAAUGCAUAAAAAUAUGGUUUGAAAAUACCAAUAAUAAUGCAAAUAUGCAGUGCAACGGCAGACGGGAAAUAAUUUCGCUUUAUGUUGUGGCCUGCGAAAAAUCUUCUCCUUCUGCUUGUAAUUAUGCGAGACUUGUUCUGCAUUGUGGCUGCUGUUUUUGCAGCUUUUGUUGCUGCUUCUUCGUCUACAUUGCAAUUUGUAUGCAAAUGCAAUCGGCAAUGCAGCCACACACUACACAUAUACACACACAGAUAUGCCGUGCAACACACCGUACACACACACCAUCGCAGCAUAAACAACGUGAUUAGCAUAACAGUCGACGAGGCCGUAAAUAUUGCAUUUUAGCAUAAUUGUUUAUACUUUGCAGCAGCUGCCAAACGAAAGCAACGCCUCUUCGCAGUUGGGCUACUUUGUAUUUAGUAAGCCAAGUAAUUAAGCCAACAGCCAACAUUUCGGCAUAUAAAUUGUAAUAUACCACUCGACUCAAGCACACUUAAUGAGUUUUCCAUUCACACACACCAUUCCCAUUUGGGAUCAGGACUUUGAUUAAAGUACUGCCAUUUGCAUGAAUUUGGCAGGCAAAAUAAACCAAAGUUGCAUAUUAAUAAUUGAACAAGAGCUGCUCCUUGGAAUAUGUAAAUCAUAAGGAAAGUCCCUAAGUCAUAUGGUCAUUUCACAUAACUUGCAAGUUAAUUGGUAUCGAGAGCUUCAAGUUCUUAAAAUGUAAUAAAUUUCGAAUGGAAGAUAUUUCGAUAAAACCAUUGGUUUAUUUUCUCACUUUUAUCCAGUAUUUGACCAGCCCCCUUAUCCCUUUUUUAACUGCAUUUUCGACUGCAUCAUGACAAAUUUCUCACACUAGUGUCAACUGCGGAAAUCUACGAUCGCUUUCGGCAUUCAGCAUUCGGUUUUCUGCUUUCGGCUGUCGGAUGUACACAAUCUUCUCGGCGAAUCCAACAAGUAGAGUGGAGUCGACAGUUCCCAUUCCCAUUCGCAUUCCCAAAACCCAUUUUCCAUUUCCCAUUCCUGCAUCAAAGUCGAGUUUCAACGAGCUGUGCUAACUUUCUAUUGUACAAUGCGAUCCAGUCACUUGUUUUUGGCCCCAUUGCGAUAGUGUGUGUCCAUGUGUGCCAAUUGCACACACACACAUGUGUGUGUGUGUGUGGUGUAUCAACAAUGCCUAACUGCCUGUGACGUUGUUGGUGUUGGAUAUUCUCUGGUAAUGCACUCCGCAAAAUAAGGCUAAACAUAAAACAGGGCCAAAAAUAAGUAAUAUGGUAAUACUAACAUCCCACGUUGGGCGCCAGUUGUAUGAAACGCGCUUGCUCUUUAGCAUUCUUAGUACUUCAUCCUAACUAAAGUUUGGAAUAUAGUGUAAUUAUGACUAGAAUACUUUGGUACGUGCUUUAAUGGAUAAGUAUUGCUUGCAAUGUGUUGCUGUUGCAGUUGCGAUUUCUGUUGCAGUGUCGCUGUUGCAUGCUAUCCCCGUUUUGGGGGCUCCGCUUUGUUCGUGUUCAUUUGGCAGUUUCCGCGCUGCAAACUUUGUAAUUAACUUUUGUCACGACGAUGCCAAAGUCUUUCGAGGACUCUCGACCGAAUGUGAAAUAAAAACAAACCAAAAAGAAAAAAAAACUGCAUUCUGUGAGGUGAACAUGCAUAAGUAAUUAUUUAUUUGCGAGAUGACAGCAAAUAUUUCUUAAGUAUGCCACAAUUAGCAACGCCAGCUUAAAAACCGAUUAAAGACAGCAAACAGAAAUUAAGGCCAAAAGGAGAACAAUAGAACUUCCAUGGCGUGCCAAAAAAAAAAGAGGAACAAAAUUAAAGUAGAAUACUAUAAUAUAAGAGAAAUAAAAGAAAA
This is a long non-coding RNA of Drosophila yakuba, 7322 nucleotides long. RefSeq lists it as uncharacterized. The record is from RefSeq and is a predicted model, not a curated record. Lineage: Eukaryota; Metazoa; Arthropoda; Insecta; Diptera; Drosophilidae. The transcript is spliced from 2 exons.